UGCCGGUUCCCUCGCGACGACAAGCUGUGAACCCCGUCAGGCCCGGAAGGGAGCAGCGGUAACAGUGGACUCGGGCGCCGAGGUGUCGCUGGCACAG
Non-coding RNA from Gammaproteobacteria bacterium RBG_16_57_12, 97 nucleotides. The record is from Rfam. Lineage: Bacteria; Pseudomonadati; Pseudomonadota; Gammaproteobacteria.